Long non-coding RNA from Astatotilapia calliptera (eastern happy), 1113 nucleotides. The record is from Ensembl. Lineage: Eukaryota; Metazoa; Chordata; Actinopteri; Cichliformes; Cichlidae.
CUUCACUAAUGGAUGGAUUGCAUGUUAUUCUUCUUGUUCUUUUAGGAGUUGUUUCCUGCAGUCAAAAUGGAAUUUCUGUAUCAGUACUGGAAGUGACAGCCCAACCUGGAGACAACAUCACUCUGUAUUGCGACUGCAAAAUGACCAUUGGAGUACAUAUAAUAUGGUACAGGAAGUGUUCUCAUGAUAACACUGUUGUUUUACGGUACAAAUCUGCGUCUUGGUUUCCUUUGGAACCUUUGUCUCAUUUGCACUUUGUGAAGAAUGAGUCCUCUAAUUCCCGAGACCUUGUGAUUUUAAAUAUCACUGAUUCUGAUGAAGGUCUCUACUACUGUGGAACAGAAGAACAGCAUGGGGAAAAUAAAGACUGCAGAUUUGUUUACACAUAUGGAAAUUCCACAACAAGACUCAAAUUAGUCACUAUAGGAAAACCAUUAAUCGUGCAAGAACAGCGUGUCAUGGAUGUUGGUGUAACCCGUCUGUCAUGGAUGAUGAUGUUCACUCCAGCCUUUACCAUUCUCACCUCAAUCUCCUUUAUUCUGGUAUAUCACACUUGUCAGAAAGCAGAAAAGAAAUCGCAUCAUCAUCAGAAAAGAUUGAGUAUCAAACGACAAUCAAGGCAAAAUAUGGAUGAAGAUCUGUGUUUAACAACAGUUGUGUUCCUGUCUCAGGACGCACAAACACAUCAUUCAGAUGACAAAGAAGAAAUAAAUAACUAGCUUUGUCUUUAAGUUAUAUUUGUAAGGUUUACAAUCAAAAGUACACGUUGUUUUUUUUCAAUCUCUCAUUUUUGGUAACUCUGUCACUGUGUUUUUGUCAUCAUUCCUGCAGUCAUAUAUGUUCUUGGCUACUUCUUAAUUAAAAAUAUAUAUACACCGCGUUCCAAAUUAUUAUGCAAAUUAUAUUUUUCUCUGUUUUUCCUAAAUAGUCAAUUCAAAUGACAGUUGGCAUAAUUUUCGAGUCAUCGACCAAUAGAGUAUAUUUCAAAUGUUACUGAACAAAACUCCCAAUGAAAACAGUAUGUUUUUCAAAAAUAAAAAACUUAAAAUCCACUGUUCCAAAUAAUUACGCACACAGAGUUUCAAAAGAUUUAAUAGGUUGUAGAGAAUUGAA